This 428-nucleotide ribosomal RNA is filed under the name uncultured bacterium. RNAcentral's name for it is "bacterial SSU rRNA". It matches the Rfam family "Bacterial small subunit ribosomal RNA", at positions 355 to 796 of the family's 1533-position model. The record is from RNAcentral.
UCGAGAAUCUUCCACAAUGGACGAAAGUCUGAUGGAGCGAUGCCGCGUGAUUGAUGAAGCGCUUUGGCGUGUAAAGGUCUUUUAUGAGGGAAGAAGUUUAUUGACGGUACCUCAUGAAUAAGGGGCUCCUAACUCUGUGCCAGCAGGAGCGGUAAUACAGAGGCCCCGAGCGUUAUCCGGAAUUAUUGGGCGUAAAGGGUGCGUAGGUUGCGCUGUUAGUCAUUUGUGAAAGCCCCGGGCUUAACCUGGGAAACGCGAAUGAUACGGCAGUGCUUGAGUAUGUAAGGGGUGUGUGGAACUCUAGGUGUAGGGGUGAAAUCCGUUGAUAUCUAGGGGAACACCAAAAGCGAAGGCAGCACACUGGUACAUUACUGACGCUGAAGCACGAAAGCAUGGGUAGCGAAUGGGAUUAGAUACCCCCGUAGUCC